RNAcentral lists this ribosomal RNA (253 nucleotides) under uncultured Oscillospira sp. RNAcentral describes it as "partial 16S ribosomal RNA". It matches the Rfam family "Bacterial small subunit ribosomal RNA", at positions 524 to 776 of the family's 1533-position model. Lineage: Bacteria; Bacillati; Bacillota; Clostridia; Eubacteriales; Oscillospiraceae. The record is from RNAcentral.
UACGUAGGUGGCAAGCGUUGUCCGGAUUUACUGGGUGUAAAGGGCGUGCAGCCGGGCUGACAAGUCAGAUGUGAAAUCCCGCGGCUCAACCGCGGAACUGCAUUUGAAACUGUCAGUCUUGAGUACCGGAGAGGUCAUCGGAAUUCCUUGUGUAGCGGUGAAAUGCGUAGAUAUUAGGAGGAACACCAGUGGCGAAGGCGAUUUGCUGGGCCAUUACUGACGCUCAUGCACGAAAGCGUGGGGAGCAAAUAGG